GCCUCGGUGGCUUAGAGGUAUAGCGCGUCCUUGGUAAGGACGAGGUCGAGGGUUCAAUUCCCUCCCGGGGCUCC
This 74-nucleotide transfer RNA is filed under the name Methanosarcinales archaeon. RNAcentral describes it as "tRNA-Thr". It matches the Rfam family "tRNA". Rfam says of the family: Transfer RNA (tRNA) molecules are approximately 80 nucleotides in length. Lineage: Archaea; Methanobacteriati; Methanobacteriota; Methanomicrobia; Methanosarcinales. The record is from RNAcentral.